UUGUCCGUUUAUGCAACCCAAUUGCUCGAGAAUGAGCACUCUGGAUGUCAUGCAUUGCUUAGGGAUGACAAGGUAGAGGAUUUAUCAAGGAUGUAUAGGCUCUUUUCCAAAAUACCUCGAGGUUUAGAUCCGGUUUCUAGUAUAUUUAAACAGCAUGUUACUGCUGAAGGUACAGCAUUGGUUAAACAAGCGGAAGAUGCAGCUAGCAAUAAGAAGGUGAUGUAAUCUU
This is a non-coding RNA of Camellia sinensis, 229 nucleotides long. The record is from RefSeq and is a predicted model, not a curated record. NCBI's taxonomy places the organism in Eukaryota, Viridiplantae, Streptophyta, Magnoliopsida, Ericales, Theaceae.